RNAcentral lists this ribosomal RNA (488 nucleotides) under uncultured bacterium. RNAcentral's name for it is "bacterial SSU rRNA". It matches the Rfam family "Bacterial small subunit ribosomal RNA", at positions 28 to 507 of the family's 1533-position model. The record is from RNAcentral.
GAUGAACGCUAGCGACAGGCUUAACACAUGCAAGUCGAGGGGCAGCGAGGUGGUAGCAAUACCGCUGUCGGCGACCGGCGCACUGGUGAGUAACACGUAUGCGACCUGCCCCCUACAGGGGUAUAACCCGUAGAAAUGCGGACUAAUCCCCCAUAGUCCCGCGGGCUGCAUGGCCUGCGGGGGAAAGGCCAGCCGGUAGGGGAUGGGCAUGCGGCGCAUUAGCUAGUUGGCGGGGCAACGGCCCACCAAGGCGACGAUCAGUAGGGGUUCUGAGAGGAAGGUCCCCCCACAUUGGAACUGAGACACGGUCCAAACUCCUACGGGAGGCAGCAGUGAGGAAUAUUGGUCAAUGGACGGGAGUCUGAACCAGCCAAGUAGCGUGCAGGAUGACGGCCCUAUGGGUUGUAAACUGCUUUUAUAAGGGAAUAAAGUGGGUCACGUGUGACUUUUUGCAUGUACCUUAUGAAUAAGGACCGGCUAAUUCCGUG